AAAAAUACUGCACAGUUUGAGUUAAUACUGGGUCGAUCCAUUUCCGAGUUUAUAUGAGUGCUACGACCUUUAAUCAAUAAAAUUAUAAAUUUCAUAUCUUUCCAGAAUAAGUAAAAACUUAAAAAAUAUAAAAAUUAAAAUUAACAAGCUUCGUGUAUUCUAUGAGUGUUAAAAAUUAAUUUGGUAUACAUACUUUAAUUUUAUAUUGUGGUCUGUAGUACAUACCUUAUUCUGAAUUUAUCAAUGAACACAAUAAUCAUUGCACUUGUAUAUUUAAUGAAUGAUCUACAAGCAUUCCGCCGCUCGCGAGUCGCCGUAGGUAUAUAACAUUCGAAGAACUUGCAUUGUUCUGUGCUAAUCUAAAUAUGCCUAUCUAAUUUUAUAAAACAUCCA
This is a long non-coding RNA of Manduca sexta (tobacco hornworm), 393 nucleotides long. RefSeq lists it as uncharacterized. The transcript has 2 exons. NCBI's taxonomy places the organism in Eukaryota, Metazoa, Arthropoda, Insecta, Lepidoptera, Sphingidae. The record is from RefSeq and is a predicted model, not a curated record.